Molecule: long non-coding RNA, 2294 nt
Filed under: Anas platyrhynchos platyrhynchos (common mallard)
Lineage: Eukaryota; Metazoa; Chordata; Aves; Anseriformes; Anatidae
Description: lncRNA (ENSAPLG00000022285.1)
Source: RNAcentral
CAUGAUCUGUGACAAGAAGCUGAACAGAUUUGUUGUUCUCAGGUUGAUGGGCUUAUAUUUGUAGCAGUCCCAUCUUCUGCUGGCAGCAGGCUCUGCCAUAGAUGCAUAGAUGUCCCUAUGGGAGAACACCAUUAUUCUCUUGUGCCCUUAAGAUUGUGUUACCCAGGUAAUCUUCUUGUCUUUCUUCUCCUGAACUAUUGGGAUGGUUCCAGGAAAAGUAAAAAGUGCUGAAUUACUAUUUUUGUUAUUGUAUAAAACUGAAACCUGACUCCAAAUCUCCUUCAUUAUCUCCUCAAGCCUUCAGGCCUAAUUGACAGCAAGUCUUUAUAUCUUCAUUUGUUCCCAUUAGAAGUCCUUGUGCCCUUGAAUAAACAGUUUUAGCUGAAGAUAAGUGAAAUAAGUCUCAGUCUGUCUAAAGACAUCUGUGAAGACAAAUGAAGCAUAGGUUUGGAUUUCUAGAGACAGAUGUGCUGGAAACAAGACCUCAGAGAAGCUUUUUUCUUACUCCACUGAGUAAGUGUGUUUUGUCUGACACCAGUUACAAAAACCCUGUUUUUUGGCGGCACAGUGCUGUGAUGCUCAAGAAUUGUAUCCUUUCUCGGAGGUAUGGGUAGCUCAUGUCUUGAUGAAGAGGUACUCCAGGACUGGGAUCAAAUGUGUUAAUGGAAAAGAAGGGAAAUAACUUUUAAAAUCUUCUUUAUUCAUUGUGCGUUAUCAAUGAUGAGACCCAAUUCUCUAUUAUAUUGAUUUUAUAGUUGCAAUUUCACCUUUAAAUUCAGUGUGAAUAUUAUUGGUAGAAAUCUAGCAUUGAAAUGUCAAUGUUGGAAAUAUUAAUGUGAAGAGAAAGUAAAGUAAUUUGAAGUGGUCACCACACUGAAGAAGAACUAGACUACCUUACAACUGUGUUUUGGGUUUAUAUGGCAAGGUUUUGGUAGCGGUGGGUCUGCAAGGGUGGCCUCGCUGAGCAGAGCCCUGCAGCUGCCCCAUCUCAGAUCAGAGCCAGUUUCAGCCAGCUCCAAAAGGAACCCAUUGCUGGCCGGAGUUCAGCCAAUGAGCAAUGCUGUUUGCACCUCUGUGAGAGCAGAUUUAAGAAAAGUAAAAAACUGCUAUACAACAGCAGCUGGGAAGAGAAGUGAGAAAACGUAGAGAGAAACAGCUCUGAAGGAGUCUGCAGUCCAUGGAGAGCCCCAGCAUGAUCAAGCUCUGGGCCAGAGCUGUAGCCUGUGGAGGAGCCCCUGGUGAAGCAGGAUGUCUGGCAGGAGCUGCUGCCCAUGGGGAAUCCAUUCAGCAGUGGGUUUAUGUGGAAAGGUUUUGGUAGCAGGGGACCACAGGGAUGGCUUCUCUGAGAAGCAUCUAGAAGCUGCCCCAUGUUAGAUAAGCACCCAGCUGCUGACUGGAGCCUAGCCAAUAAGUGAUGUUGUUUGUGCCCCUGUGACAGCAUAUUUAAGAAAGGGAAAAACAAAACAAAACAAAACAAAAAAAAAACAAACAAACAAACAAACAAAAAAAAACACCUGCUGCUACGCAGCAGCUGGGAGAGUGAUAGGAGUGAGAAACAGCCUUGCAGACACCAAGGUCAGUGAAGAAGGAGGCGGAGAGUUGCUCCAGGUGCCAGAGUAGAAGUCCCCUGCAGCCUGUGGCGAGGACCAUGGUGAAGCAGACUGUCCCUUUGAAGCCCAUGGAAUACCACAGUGAAGCAGGGUUCCACGCUGCAGCCCAUGAAGGACACCACAGUGGAGCAGGUAGAUUGCACUGACAAGCUGCAGCCUGUGGAGGGCCCUCACUGGAGCAGAUUCCUGGCCAGACCUAUGGCCCAUGGAGAGGAGCCCACAUAGGAGCAGGUGAUCUGGCAGAAACUGCUGCCUGUGGGGGACCCAGGUUGGAGCAGUUUUCUCCUGAUGGAUGGACCCCAUGGUACGGCCCAUAUCUGGAGCAGUUCUUGACAAGCUGCUGCCUGUGGGAAGCCCACGCAGGAUCAGUGUGGGAAGGAUGACAUCCCUUGGGAAGCACCCCAUGAGAAGCAGGGGUAGAGAGUGAGGAUCAGUUGGGAAGGGACCCCACGUUGCAGAGGAAGAGAGUGACCAAGAAGAAGCGGUAGAGAUGGAGCUGACCACAACCAGAGAAGAGACUGACCACAACCCUUAUUCCCCUGUUCCCCGGCACUGCUUGGGGGGAGGAGGUGGAAGAGGGUGGAUGGAGGAAAGCGGUUUUGGUUUCUUUCCUUUGUUUCUCACUUCUCUAGCUUGUUAGUAAAAGGCAAUAAAUUUUACUGUCUCCCUACUCUGAGUCUGUUU